Molecule: long non-coding RNA, 377 nt
Organism: Tarenaya hassleriana
Lineage: Eukaryota; Viridiplantae; Streptophyta; Magnoliopsida; Brassicales; Cleomaceae
Exons: 3
Source: RefSeq, a predicted model, not a curated record
UCCCUGGAUUUCGCCUGCCUUCUUUCUCUAGUUGCAAGCACUUGGUCAGAGCAAUUGUAGAAGAUUAUGAGCAGGAAACCUAGCCCGGCCUACAUUGAACAAGCAAAGAUUCAAGAACAAAGACCUUGGAUUGCAUGUCGCCAGCCGAAAACAUUCUGCAAGUUCAUCAGAAAAAAAAAGGCAUUGAGUCACCUUCAAAAUUCCAUGGAUGUCCAUAGAGCUCCUUAACCUGCCCUGCAGUAAUGUCUGAUGCAAAUACAAAAAAAGGAAGAAAGUGAUGAAGUCACCCAACGAGAUGGAAAUAAUGGCAAUAACAGGGAAGAAACAUAUGGAAAAAAGACAAAGACAAUCCAAGAAACAGGAGUGGAAGAAGCUAA